Molecule: small RNA, 126 nt
Filed under: Marmota monax (woodchuck)
Lineage: Eukaryota; Metazoa; Chordata; Mammalia; Rodentia; Sciuridae
Source: RNAcentral
GCUGGGCACUGUGGUGCAUGCCUGUGAUCCCAGCAGCUCGGAAGGCUGAGGCAGGAGGAUCGCUGAGUUCAAAGCCAGCCUCAGCAAAAGCGAGGUGCUAAGCAACUCAGUGAGACCCUGUCUCUA